Molecule: ribosomal RNA, 557 nt
Filed under: Saccharopolyspora hirsuta
Lineage: Bacteria; Bacillati; Actinomycetota; Actinomycetes; Pseudonocardiales; Pseudonocardiaceae
Description: partial 23S ribosomal RNA
Rfam family: Bacterial large subunit ribosomal RNA
Source: RNAcentral
UGUGUGGGGUAGCCGGAGCGAAAGCGAGUCUGAAGAGGGCGUGUGAGUCGCGUGGUGUAGACCCGAAGCGGGGUGAUCUACCCAUGGCCAGGGUGAAGCGCGGGUAAGACCGUGUGGAGGCCCGAACCCACCAGGGUUGAAAACCUGGGGGAUGAGUUGUGGGUAGGGGUGAAAGGCCAAUCAAACUCCGUGAUAGCUGGUUCUCCCCGAAAUGCAUUUAGGUGCAGCGUCGCGUGUUGCUUGGGUGGGGUAGAGCACUGGUUGGUUGAUGGGCCUUCGCGGGUUACUGAGAUCAGCCAAACUCCGAAUACAUUCGAGUUGAGCGUGGCAGUGAGACGGUGGGGGAGAAGCUUCAUCGUCGAGAGGGAAACAGCCCAGAGCAUCGGCUAAGGCCCCUAAGUGUGCGCUUAGUGGGAAAGGAUGUGGGAUCGCUGAGACAACCAGGAGGUUGGCUUAGAAGCAGCCAUCCUUGAAAGAGUGCGUAAUAGCUCACUGGUCAAGUGGUCCUGCGCCGACAAUGUAGCGGGGCUGAAGCGCACCGCCGAAGCCAUGCCAAU